Molecule: small RNA, 1905 nt
Filed under: Pongo abelii (Sumatran orangutan)
Lineage: Eukaryota; Metazoa; Chordata; Mammalia; Primates; Hominidae
Description: processed transcript
Source: RNAcentral
AAAGAUGUAAAGCCAGCUCCAUAGAGGAAAGACAGCCUUUUAAAAAAUGGUGUUGGACCAAUUGCCAUAGCAACUUAUGAAGUUGGAAUUGAAGAACUCCAAAAGCCUUGGAAGAAUUUUCCCUAUCCAGAACCUAGUGCUAAACAUGAAGAUAAAAAAAUGAAGGAAAAAGAGCCAUGUGAAUUGGAACCUAAAAACACAGAAAAGGAACCACAUUCAAACCAUGUUUUCAAGGUAGAUGCCUGUGAAGGGACACCUGAAAAAAUUCAGAUGGCCAACAUCCACACAGGUAGAAGGAACAUGUUGGCUGGAAAGCAAGAGGCCAUGAUUGACGUCAUCCAGACAAAUCCCUGCCCUGAGGGCCCAAAGCUGGCCAGGCACUCCCAAGGCCACUGUGGGUAUCUGGAGGUUUUGGAGUCGGCUAAAGAAACUCCAGACCUAGGGGUCUCUAAGACAAGUUCCAUCUCGGAGGAGAUAUAUGAUGAUGUCGAGUACUCCAGGAAAGAGGUACCGAAGCUGAACUACUCUAGCUCAUUUGCCUCAAAUAGUGUUUAGAUGGAAAAGAAGCACUCAAAAGACUGCAGCAAUUCUUCAAGAAAGAAAAGGAUAGAUUUAAAAUAAAGAAAACCAAGUCAAAAGAAAACUUAAGAACUUAAGUCUCAGGAAGUUAUUAUCUAUGAUGAUGUAGACCUGAGUGAAAAAGAGUCGAAAGACGAAGAUAAACUGAAAAUGUGGAAGCCCAAGUUUCUGACACCAAAGGGAAAAAAAGAGAAAAACAGUGCUGAAGAAUCAGAAAGUUUCUCUCCUAGAAAUUUCUUCAAAACCAAGAAGCAAAACUUAGAAAAGAACAGAAUGAAAAGAGAAGAAAAACUAUUUAGAGAAAGGUUUAAGUAUGACAAAGAGAUUAUUGUCAUCAACACAGCAGUGGCCUGUUCCAAUAAUUCAAGAAAUGGAAUAUUUGAUUUGCCAAUAAGUCCUGGAGAAGAAUUGGAAGUUAUUGAUACCACCGAACAAAAUCUAGUGAUAUGUCGUAAUUCUAAAGGCAAAUAUGGAUAUGUGCUCAUUGAACAUCUAGAUUUCAAGCAUCAAAGUUGGUCACCUUAGAAAGAUCAAGAUCAAAUGCUAUGGACUGCACAAGGCAGAACUAGUCCCAAGAUCCUAGUCCCGCGUUACAUCAGUUUCAGUUUACAUGUCAAAAUUUUGAGAUGGUGGAAUCUGUGGAAACUUUCGUUCUGAACUUAAAAGAGAAAAAUAAAAACAAAUCCUCAACAUUUAGAUGUUGGUUUUACUCCUAAAAGGUUAUCUUUCAAUGUCUAUUUCAGUGUCUACUUCACUGCCAGUUCAAGAGAAUGUGAAACAGUAUGUGUUAGCAUUUGAGCACUUAUUUAAUGAGCCAUAUCCAAAGUUAGAAAUCAUGCCUUAUGGCACCUAGUCAGUUGUGCAGAUGGUUAGUUUGCUUCUAAUAUUAGUACAUGAGCAUUUGUAAUUUCUAGAUGUUGUGCAUUCAAACUUGGUAUAAUUUAAUUCUGAACAGUAAACAGUGUAACCAAGGUCUUUUAAAUACUCAAAUUUAAGGUAUAAUCUUAAUUAAUUAUGGCUCAGUCUUUAAAAAAGUAUAAAUGUCCUUUCACUUUAUCACAAAAAUAAACUCAUAUGAAUACUGUUCCACAUUUGUUUCUUUUGGGAAUAGUUUGCUGAAAAAUAAUUUAUUCCUAAAUUCACCCAUCAUUUUAAGUGCCCAAAUGUACUUAACAAAAUAAUAUAUAUGCUGUAUUACUUUAAAACACCUUUUUGUCCAAAAUAAGAACGCUUGUCAUUAUUUUGUCUAUGCCCAAAUAACUAUUCAAAUAAUAGCAUUCAUAUGUACUUUCAUUUAUAUGGAAUUAAAUAAAAAUUUAAAAGCUG